Molecule: long non-coding RNA, 722 nt
Organism: Tympanuchus pallidicinctus (lesser prairie-chicken)
Lineage: Eukaryota; Metazoa; Chordata; Aves; Galliformes; Phasianidae
Exons: 4
Source: RefSeq, a predicted model, not a curated record
UAACCCAUAGAAUCCCCCAUAGGAUCCCCCAUAGGAUCCCUCAUAACCCCAUAGCAUCCCCCAUAACCCCAUAGCAUCCCCCAUAACCCCAUAGGAUCCUCCAUAAGCCCAUAGGAUCCCCCAUAACCCCAUAGGAUCCUCAAUAACCCUAUAGGAUCCCCCAUAACCCCCUAGGGUCCCCCAUAAGCCCAUAGGACCCCCUAUAGGAUCCCCCAUAGGGUCGCCCAUAGGGUCACCCAUAAGCCCAUAGGAUCCCCCAUAAGCCCAUAGGAUCCCCCAUAGGGUCACCCAUAGGGUCCCCCAUAGGAUCCCCCAUUACCCCAUAGGAUCCCACAUGACCCCAUAGAAUCCCCCAUAACCCCAUAGGAUCCCCCAUAGGCCCAUAGGAUCCCCCAUAACCCCAUAGGAUCCCCCAUAGGAUCCCCCAUAACCCCAUAGCAUCCCCCAUGACCCCAUAGGAUGCCCCAUUACCCAUAGGGUCCCCCAUAGGAUCCCACAUGACCCCAUAGGGUCCCCCAUAAGCCCAUACGAUCCCCCAUAGGCCCAUAGGAUCCCCCAUAAGCCCAUAGGAUCCCCCAUAGGCCCAUAGGAUCCCCCAUAACCCCAUAACAUCCCCCAUGACCCCAUAGGAUCCCCCAUAGGAUCCCCUAUAGGAUCCCCCAUAGGAUCCCCUAUAGGAUCCCCCAUAGGGUCCCCCAUAGGAUCCCCCAUAAGCCCAUAGG